UUUCCGUAGGUGAACCUGCGGAAGGAUCAUCAUCAAGUUUUAACUAAUAUCAAGGACUCUGUGAGGGGCAACCUUUGCAGAUUCUCCUUGGUAAUUAACCAAUGUGAAUUGGGGGAAGUAUAUUGAAGGACGCAAGUCUUGACUAUAUAUUGAACUCAUUUUUUCUCUUGAUGCAAAGACCAAUGUGUGUCAAAGCACAUAUGUUUUAGUGUCUUGAGAGAUAUUAACUAUUAAAAGAGUCGGAUAAAAAACAAAAAAUUAAAAACAACUUUUAACAAUGGAUCUCUUGGCUCUU
This 295-nucleotide unclassified non-coding RNA is filed under the name plant metagenome. RNAcentral's name for it is "partial contains small subunit ribosomal RNA, internal transcribed spacer 1, and 5.8S ribosomal RNA". The record is from RNAcentral.